UACGUAGGCAGCAAGCGUUGUUCGGAGUUACUGGGCGUAAAGGGUGUGUAGGCGGUUCUUUAAGUUUGGUGUGAAAUCUCCCGGCUCAACUGGAAGGGUGCGCCGAAUACUGAGGGACUAGAGUACGGGAGAGGAAAGUGGAAUUCCUGGUGUAGCGGUGAAAUGCGUAGAUAUCAGGAGGAACACCGGCGGUGUAGACGGCUUUCUGGACCGUAGCUGACGCUGAGACACGAAAGCGUGGGUAGCAAACAGG
This 253-nucleotide ribosomal RNA is filed under the name uncultured bacterium. RNAcentral describes it as "partial 16S ribosomal RNA". It matches the Rfam family "Bacterial small subunit ribosomal RNA", at positions 524 to 776 of the family's 1533-position model. The record is from RNAcentral.